RNAcentral lists this ribosomal RNA (773 nucleotides) under uncultured Neocallimastigales. RNAcentral's name for it is "partial large subunit ribosomal RNA". It matches the Rfam family "Eukaryotic large subunit ribosomal RNA", at positions 22 to 643 of the family's 3401-position model. Lineage: Eukaryota; Fungi; Neocallimastigomycota; Neocallimastigomycetes; Neocallimastigales. The record is from RNAcentral.
GUACACGCUGUGACUAGCAUAUCAAUAAGCGGAGGAAAAGAAACUAACAAGGAUUCCCCUAGUAACGGCGAGUGAAGCGGGAAGAGCUCAAAUUUGAAAUCUUAAAGGGUUUCCCUUUACGAAUUGUAGUUUAAAGAAGUGUUUCCUGUUGAGGUUUUGGUAAAAGUUCUUUGGAAUAGGACAUCAUAGAGGGUGAGAAUCCCGUAUUUGACCUUUACUUUCAACUUUGUGAUACACUUUCAAAGAGUCGGAUUGUUUGGGAAUGCAGUCCAAAAUGGGUGGUAAAUUUCAUCUAAAGCUAAAUAUUGGCGAGAGACCGAUAGCGAACAAGUACCGUGAGGGAAGGAUGAAAAGAACUUUGAAAAGAGAGUUAAACAGUACGUGAAAUUGUCAAAAGGGAAGCGUUUGACACCAGUGUUGUUUUUCUGAAAAUCAAUUAAAGAACUGUUUAUGCUAAGUUGUUUAGACUUUAUCAGCUAACUGUUUAGUUUUGAGCUUUUCUUUAAUGCACUUUUCAGUUAACAAGUCAACAUCAAUUUCUUUUGCUGUAAAAAAGCUUGAGGAAGGUGGCUUGAGAUUCGUCUUAAGUGUUUAUAGCCUCUUGCCUAUGCAGUCGGAGAGAUUGAGGUCUGCAGCGUAGAUCCUUCGGGGCUAAAUGCAUUUGUGCUAAGUUAUAGCAUUUUAUAGACAACUUGUUGACUAUGAUUUGUCUUGUAGCUUACUCGCUUAUGUUAUUUUACCUACGCUUAGGAUGUUGACUGAUAUGUAGUCGU